CUGGGCCUCUGUGGGCAUCUUACCGGACAGUGCUGGAUUUCUUGGUUUGACUCUAACACUGUCUGGUAACGAUGUUCAAAGGUGACCCAC
This 90-nucleotide microRNA precursor is filed under the name Mus pahari (shrew mouse). RNAcentral describes it as "microRNA 200a (MGP_PahariEiJ_G0007587.1)". The stretch from base 11 to 79 matches the Rfam family "mir-8/mir-141/mir-200 microRNA precursor family". From Rfam's summary of the family: The bounds of the precursors are predicted based on conservation and base pairing and are not generally known. The record is from RNAcentral. Lineage: Eukaryota; Metazoa; Chordata; Mammalia; Rodentia; Muridae.